UACGUAGGCAGCGAGCGUUGUUCGGAAUUACUGGGCGUAAAGAGUGUGUAGGCGGUGUUCCCAGUCUGUUGUGAAAUCUCCCGGCUUAACUGGGAGGGUGCAGCGGAAACUAGAAUGCUAGAGGGUGGGAGAGGUAAGCGGAAUUCCUGGUGUAGCGGUGAAAUGCGUAGAUAUCCGGAGGAACACCAGUGGCGAAGGCGGCCUUCUGGGAUGCUCCUGACGCUCAGACACGAAAGCUAGGGGAGCGAACGGG
Molecule: ribosomal RNA, 253 nt
Filed under: uncultured prokaryote
Description: partial 16S ribosomal RNA
Rfam family: Bacterial small subunit ribosomal RNA
Source: RNAcentral